GCGCCUGUAGCUCAACGGAUAGAGCGUUCGCGUUCUAAGCGAGUGGUUGGGGGUUCGAUUCCCUCCAGGCGCGCUA
Molecule: transfer RNA, 76 nt
Filed under: Candidatus Curtissbacteria bacterium RIFCSPHIGHO2_02_39_8
Lineage: Bacteria; Candidatus Curtissiibacteriota
Also listed under: 1 other name
Description: tRNA-Arg
Rfam family: tRNA
About the family: Transfer RNA (tRNA) molecules are approximately 80 nucleotides in length. Their secondary structure includes four short double-helical elements and three loops (D, anti-codon, and T loops).
Source: RNAcentral